Molecule: long non-coding RNA, 5271 nt
Filed under: Medicago truncatula (barrel medic)
Lineage: Eukaryota; Viridiplantae; Streptophyta; Magnoliopsida; Fabales; Fabaceae
Description: long non-coding RNA (MTRU_LNC004456)
Source: RNAcentral
GGUUUUCUUGGUAUAUGUAAAUACCUGAAAGAGACAACUAAAAAGAAAUGGAUUGGAGGGAGUAAAUCAUAAAAAUACAUCAAAGGUCUUGUUAAUAAUCGUGACAGAAGCACAAACCACAGAUGUUAAUGGCAUAGAUAACAAACAGGAUUACAUAGAUUCCUACAUUCGAUUCUCAGCCUCAACAUGUUAGAAUAAUUAAUCAAGUACUUAGUGGAGAUAUUGAAAAGUUGUGACUAUUUAGUUUCAACUCCACUAGCCAUUGUAUUGAUUGUAUUGAUUAAUCUUCCUUAUUAAUUAGGGGUUAACUAGGAGACUCUUACCUAUAUAAAUGUACACUCUCACCACAUAAUAUGAUAUAAUAAACAUAUUUUCAGUUCUAAUAUGGUAUCAGAGCUUCUUGAUCCAGAGCCAUGUCUACGUCUUCUCCCUCUGAUGCGCAACGCGUAACUGCUGCAGCAUCCAAAACCUUCAAACAAGUAGUUUCUGUUAAGCUUGAUGAUACGAACUACCUUCAAUGGAAGCAACAAGUCGAAGGUGUUCUUCGCGGAACGAAGAUGGUGAAAUUUGUGAUUUCACCUGAUAUUCCACCGGUUUUUCUCACAGAUGCAGCGCGCGAAGCUGGAACGGAGAAUCCUGCUUACACUGAAUGGGAAGAACAAGAUUCAUUGCUCUGCACCUGGAUUCUUUCAACGAUUUCGCCUUCGCUACUUUCGCGAUUCGUUCUCCUUCGCCACUCAUGGCAGGUUUGGGAUGAGAUCCAUAGUUACUGCUUCACGCAGAUGAAGACGCGUUCGCGUCAACUUCGAUCUGAACUUAGAUCCAUUACGAAAGGUUCACGCACUGUCGCUGAAUUCAUUGCUCGAAUUCGCGCAAUUUCAGAGUCUCUUGCUUCAAUUGGAGAUCCGGUCUCUCACAGGGACCUAAUUGAAGUUGUUCUUGAAGCACUUCCUGAAGAGUUUGACCCUAUUGUUGCUAGUGUGAAUGCAAAAUCUGAGGUUGUUUCUUUAGAUGAACUUGAAUCUCAGCUUCUCACACAAGAAUCUAGAAAGGAGAAGUUCAAGAAAGCUGCUAUCAGUGAACCUGUUUCAGUUAAUCUCACUGAAACUGCAAAUUCAGAAUCCCAAUCUCAUGGUCCUAAUUCUCAAAACCACAAUUAUACUGAUGGCACCGGAAACAAUCAGUUUCCUAACUCUAACUCUAAUUUUGGAGGAAGAAAUGGCCAGUUCAGAGGACGUGGUGGCCGUUUUGGUGGUAGAUUCAGAGGACGUGGUGGCCGUUUCGGUGGAAGAUCCAAUGUUCAAUGCCAAAUAUGUUCAAAAACUGGUCAUGAUGCAAGCUAUUGUCACUACCGUUUCUUUGCCCCACAAAAUGAUUACUACAGUCCCUAUGGCUCACCAGGAGGCUAUGGUGCACCUCCAAAUGUAUGGAUGCAGAACAUGUCACGUCCUCAACAUUCUGGACAGUUUCUUAGGCCUCCCACACAGGCUGCGAAUCAGAGAGGUCAAGCUCCCCAGGCCUUCUUAACUGGCUCAGAUCCAUACAAUUCAUUCAACAAUGCCUGGUACCCUGACUCAGGUGCUACUCAUCAUGUCACCCCUGAUGCAUCCAACCUCAUGGAUUCCACGUCUCUUUCAGGUUCUGAUCAGGUCCAUAUUGGAAAUGGACAAGGUUUGGCUAUUACCUCUGUUGGUUCCUUACAAUUUACUUCUCCUUUACAUCCUCAAACUACUCUAAAACUAAAUAAUCUCCUUCUUGUUCCCUCUAUAACCAAAAAUCUUGUUAGUGUGAGUCAAUUUGCUAAAGAUAACAAUGUUUACUUUGAGUUUCAUCCUAAUCAUUGUUUUGUCAAAUCUCAGGAUUCUUCUAAGGUGCUUUUAAGAGGUAUUCUAGGACAUGAUGGUCUCUAUCAAUUUGAGCACACCAAAUCAUUCAAGACCACUGCUCCUGUCUCUCAAAAUUCUAGUGUCAACACUGUUUGCAAUAAAGUUCCAGCACAAACUGAUAAUUCUGCCUCUUUUCAUUUAAGUCCCUCAACUGAUUUCAAUUUCAAUAAUUUUCAAUGCAAUAAUGUUGAACAUUUACCUAGUAGUUCAACAUCUAGUUCUACUCAGUCUUUUCCUUCCAUGUAUGGUAUCUGGCAUAGCAGACUUGGACAUCCUCAUCAUGAGGUGCUCCAAAGUAUUAUCAAACUUUGUAAUAUAAAAUUACCAAAUAAAAGCUUGUCAGAUUUCUGUACUGCUUGUUGUCAUGGUAAGGUUCAUAGACUGCCUUCUUUUGCAUCUCAAAUGACAUAUACUAAACCUCUUGAAUUAAUUUUCUGUGAUCUUUGGGGACCUGCACCAGUUGAAUCCUCUUGUGGAUAUACCUAUUUUCUUACUUGUGUGGAUGCUUAUUCUAGAUACACAUGGAUAUAUCCUCUGAAACUCAAAUCUCACACACUUUCUACAUUUCAGAAUUUUAAAACCAUGAUUGAAUUGCAGUUAAAUCACAAAAUUACUUCUGUCCAAACUGAUGGAGGUGGUGAGUUUUUACCUUUCACAAAAUAUCUCAAUAGCCUUGGCAUCACUCACAGAUUCACUUGUCCACACACUCACCAUCAAAAUGGCUCAGUUGAAAGGAAACAUAGACAUAUUGUUGAAACUGGUCUCACUCUUUUAUCUCAUGCACAAAUGCCAUUAAAGUUUUGGGACCAUGCCUUUUUAACUGCAACUUACCUUAUCAACAGGUUACCUACACCAGUUUUAGCAAAUAAAUCACCCUUUUUCUUACUUCACCUUCAAUUUCCAGACUAUAAAUUCCUUAAAAGCUUUGGUUGUGCAUGUUUUCCCUUUUUGAGACCCUAUAACUCUCAUAAGUUUGAUUUUUAUUCAAAGGAGUGUGUUUUCUUGGGAUAUUCCAACAGUCACAAAGGAUAUAAAUGUUUAGAUGCUUCAGGUAGAAUUUUUAUAUCCAAAGAUGUUGUGUUUAAUGAGGUAAAAUUUCCUUAUCUUGACUUGUUUCCAUCUCAGAAAGUGUGUUCUGUUUUACCAGAUGGUCCCACUUUAUCCACUUUUCUUCCCACUCCUGUCUCAACAACCUUUACUGUAAACUCACAUACUCCCCAAAAUUCUCAUUCUGAGUCUGGUCCUCACAUUGUUAACUCACCUACUCCCCAAACUUCUCAUUCCGAGUUUGUUCCUACUACUCCCAUAUCAAACACCCCUCAGACUCCAUCUAUUAGUUCUCAUCACUCCGAGUCCUCACACAGAAAUAAUGUGGUCCUAAAUCCCACACCCAUCACCAUUCUAUCUCCCUCUGCAUCUCAAAAUUCCUCACCUGAGUCAUCUGCUAGUGUUACUAGCUUUCAAUCUACUAAUUCUGAGUCUCCUCCUCCUGUUCCUCACAGAAUUCAUCCUCAAAACUGUCACACAAUGAGAACCAGAGGUAAACAUGGAAUUGUGCAGCCCAGAAUUAACCCUACACUCCUUUUGACUCAUGUUGAGCCCACUACUUACAAAACUGCUCUUCAGGAUCCUAAGUGGCAUUUAGCAAUGCAAGAAGAAUAUAAUGCUUUACUUCAUAAUCAGACAUGGUCUCUAGUAUCUCUUCCUGCAAACAAGACUGGCCAUUGGAUGUAAAUGGGUAUUUAGGGUAAAAGAAAAUCCAGAUGGCACUGUAAACAAGUACAAGGCACGUUUAGUGGCUAAGGGUUUUCAUCAACAAGCAGGUUUUGACUACAAUGAGACUUUUUCCCCUGUAGUCAAACCUGUUACAGUGAGGACAGUUCUGACACUUGCAGUUACUUAUAACUGGACUCUUCAGCAGUUGGAUGUGAACAAUGCAUUCCUAAAUGGAGUGCUAACUGAGGAAGUCUACAUGGUGCAGCCUCCUGGCUUUGAAUCUUCUGACAAGAACCUUGUAUGCAAACUACACAAGGCUCUCUAUGGGUUAAAACAGGCUCCCAGAGCAUGGUUUGAGAGAUUGAAAUCAUCUUUACUUAGCUUUGGGUUCAAGUCAAGCAGAUGUGAUCCUUCUUUGUUUACUUUGCACACUCAAGCUCACUGCAUUUUUAUAUUGGUUUAUGUUGAUGAUAUUAUCAUCACUGGAAACUCAAAACUGGCUAUUCAGAAUCUAGUUCAUCAGCUCAAUUCUGAGUUCUCCCUUAAAGAUUUGGGUAUACUAGAUUAUUUUCUCGGCAUAGAGGUGCAUCACUCACCAUCUGGCUCUUUACUUCUUUCUCAAACCAAAUAUAUCAAGGACCUUCUUCAGAAAGCUAACAUGAUUAAUGCUAAUAGCAUGCCUUCACCAAUGGCAUCUAGUACAAAAUUGUCUAAAUUUGGUUCAAGUACAGUCUCAGAUCCUACAUUUUUCAGGUCAAUUGUUGGUGCAUUGCAAUAUGCAACCAUAACAAGACCUGAAAUAUCCUACUCUGUGAACAAAGUUUGCCAGUUUUUAUCAAAUCCCCUUGAAGAUCACUGGAAGGCAGUCAAGAGGAUACUUAGAUAUCUGCAGGGUACUUUACACCAUGGGUUAAUGCUUACACCUGCCAGCUCUACUGAACCUAUUGCAAUCACCGGAUUUUGUGAUGCUGACUGGGCUUCAGAUCCUGAUGACAGAAGAAGCACAUCAGGAGCCUGCAUAUUUCUGGGCCCCAAUCUAGUUUCCUGGUGGGCAAGGAAACAGACCCUUGUAGCUAGAUCUAGUGCAGAGGCUGAAUAUAGAAGCCUUGCACAAGCUUCGGCUGAGAUUAUUUGGAUCCAAUCUCUUCUCAAUGAAUUGCAAAUUAAGAGUAAAAUUCCUCAUGUCUAUUGUGAUAAUCUCAGUGCAGUUUCUCUUGCUCACAACCCAGUCCUGCACUCAAGAACCAAGCACAUGGAAUUGGAUAUUUUCUUUGUGAGAGAAAAGGUUAUAAGGAAGGAACUGAAUGUCUCGCAUGUGCCUGCUCAAGACCAGUGGGCAGAUGUCUUAACUAAGCCUCUGUCCACUGCCAGAUUCCUUUAUCUUAGAGACAAACUGAGGGUUUGUGACACCCUCCGUUUGAAGGGGGACUGUUAGAAUAAUUAAUCAAGUACUUAGUGGAGAUAUUGAAAAGUUGUGACUAUUUAGUUUCAACUCCACUAGCCAUUGUAUUGAUUGUAUUGAUUAAUCUUCCUUAUUAAUUAGGGGUUAACUAGGAGACUCUUACCUAUAUAAAUGUACACUCUCACCACAUAAUAUGAUAUAAUAAACAUAUUUUCAGUUCUAAUACAACAAUCACAAUAUAAUUAUAAAGAUUAUAUGAAAGGACAU